GUGCGAACAGGUGAGGAAACCCGAGAGCUAAGUUUUGGGGCGGGGCUGGAGUCGUAUUAGGUCGAAGGUGGUAUAAAAGACCACCUUGCCCAGGAUGCGUGGCUUUAAACUGGAAAGCCAUCUUUUCACUGAAGGCAAAGGGAGGGCUCAAAAAGGGAGCGAAAAGCUCCUGAGGCAGCAGUAUAUAACUUUAUGCAAUGUACGAAAGUGCGACAUAGAAGGGGCGUAUAACUUAAUCUGUCUAAUUAAGUGCCAGCAGACGCGGUGAAACUUAAGGAUUAGUAUUAUAGGAAAAAGCGUAAAGGGUGUGAGGGGCUUAUCCCAACAAGAGGGUAAAUGGAAUUUUUCUGUAGGGGUAGAAUGUGUAGAUAGAAAAAAGAACUCUAAACGCGAAGGCAAUUUAUCUCAUGGGUGGUACGCCAACUGCUCCGUUGUUACACGAAAGUAUGGGGAGCAAACAGGAUUAGAGACCCUGGUAGUCUAUAUUGUAAAUAAUGAAGAAGAUGUGAGGCAAUCCUAAAGGGUAAUAAAUUUUUCGCUUGAGUAGUAUGAUCGCAAGAUUUAAAUUCAAAAAACUUGGCUGCUCACUGCUAUGAUCAGAGGAGCGUGUCGUUUAAUUCGAUAGUCCGCGAGAGACCUUACCCAAACUUGAAUUCGCCCUUUAACAGGUAUUGCAUGGCCGUCGUCAAUUUGUGUAUUAAAUGUAAAACGGAUUCAACCCAGUGGUUGGCAACCCCUCGUCUUCGGAGCGGUGCCAUUAUUGGAUGAAGUCAGGUCUUAUUGUCCUAAUGUUUGGGGAUUAGAUGCGCUACAUUUUCUUAUACAAUGGGAGAUUUUGAAGGUGGAACCCUAAAGUAAGAGUUCGGGAGGUGGCUGGAAGAUAACUGAAAGUGGGAUUUGAUAGUAAUUAGAAAGUAUAGCGUUCUGGUGAAAUUGAUGCAGUGUUAGUACAAAUAGCCCGUCGCCUUGGUCAAGAAUGGGUACUCAAAUGC
This 992-nucleotide ribosomal RNA is filed under the name Rhodactis sp. BN-2014m. Its description in RNAcentral is "partial small subunit ribosomal RNA". It matches the Rfam family "Bacterial small subunit ribosomal RNA", at positions 186 to 1427 of the family's 1533-position model. Lineage: Eukaryota; Metazoa; Cnidaria; Anthozoa; Corallimorpharia; Discosomidae. The record is from RNAcentral.